AGUGAACGCUGGCGGUAGGCCUAACACAUGCAAGUCGAACGGCAGCACAGUAAGAGCUUGCUCUUACGGGUGGCGAGUGGCGGACGGGUGAGGAAUACAUCGGAAUCUACUUUUUCGUGGGGGAUAACGUAGGGAAACUUACGCUAAUACCGCAUACGACCUACGGGUGAAAGCAGGGGAUCUUCAGACCUUGCGCGAUUGAAUGAGCCGAUGUCGGAUUAGCUAGUUGGCGGGGUAAAGGCCCACCAAGGCGACGAUCCGUAGCUGGUCUGAGAGGAUGAUCAGCCACACUGGAACUGAGACACGGUCCAGACUCCUACGGGAGGCAGCAGUGGGGAAUAUUGGACAAUGGGCGCAAGCCUGAUCCAGCCAUACCGCGUGGGUGAAGAAGGCCUUCGGGUUGUAAAGCCCUUUUGUUGGGAAAGAAAGGCAGCAGGUUAAUACCCCGCUGUUCUGACGGUACCCAAAGAAUAAGCACCGGCUAACUUCGUG
Molecule: ribosomal RNA, 492 nt
Filed under: uncultured bacterium
Lineage: Bacteria
Description: partial 16S ribosomal RNA
Rfam family: Bacterial small subunit ribosomal RNA
Source: RNAcentral